UGCYAUUGAUAUCAACCUGGUAAACUGGGGGAAUUGUAGAAYUAAUACAUGCACCAAAGCUCCGACCCGCGAGGGGAGAGCGCAUUUAUUAGAACAAAACCAAGCGGCUUCGGCCGUCCAUUGUUGACUCAGAAUAACUAAGCUGAUCGUACGGUCUUGUACCGACGACGUGUCUUUCAAGUUUCUGCCUUAUCAACUUUCGAUGGGAGUGUAUCUGACUACCCUGGUGGGGACGGGUAACGGAGGAUAAGGGGGCGACUCCAGAGAAAGGGGCUGAGAAAUGGCCACUACGGCUAAGGAUGGGAGCAGGCGCGCAAAUUACCCACUCUCAAUGCGAGGAGGUAGUGACGAGAAAUAACGAGGGCGCUCUCUUUGAGGCCGGUCAUCGGAAUGGGUACAAUUUAAACCCUUUAACGAGUAUCUAUGAGAGGGGAAGUCUGGGGCCAGCAGCCGCGGUAAUUCCAGCUCUCUAAAUGCAUAGAAAUAUUGCUGCGGUUAAAAAGCUCGUAGUUGGAUCUGUGCCUGUGCUCUGGUCCACCUCGCGGGGCGCACUGGGUGUCACAGGGUUUCCUGCAAUGUUCAGCCCCGGCGCCUUCACCGGCACCGGUGUGUKGAUGCUGCAAGUUUACUUUGAACAAAUCGGAGUGCUCCAAACAGGCGUUUGCUUGAACGUUCGUGCAUGGAAUAAUAGAAGAGGAUUUCGGUUCAAUUUUAUUGGUUUUAUUGGCCGAGAUAAUGGUUAACAGAGACAAACGGGGGCAUUUGUAUUGCUGCGUGAGAGGUGAAAUUCUUGGACCGUAGCAAGACAAACUACCGCGAAAGCAUUUUGCCAAGAAUGUCUUCAUUAAUCAAGAACGAAAGUCAGAGGUUCGAAGGCGAUCAGAAUACCCGCCCCACA
Molecule: ribosomal RNA, 898 nt
Filed under: Pratylenchus thornei
Lineage: Eukaryota; Metazoa; Nematoda; Chromadorea; Rhabditida; Pratylenchidae
Description: SSU rRNA
Rfam family: Eukaryotic small subunit ribosomal RNA
Source: RNAcentral